This 497-nucleotide ribosomal RNA is filed under the name uncultured bacterium. RNAcentral's name for it is "partial 16S ribosomal RNA". It matches the Rfam family "Bacterial small subunit ribosomal RNA", at positions 28 to 507 of the family's 1533-position model. The record is from RNAcentral.
GAUGAACGCUGGCGGCGUGCCUAAUACAUGCAAGUCGAGCGAACGGACGAGAAGCUUGCUUCUCUGAUGUUAGCGGCGGACGGGUGAGUAACACGUGGAUAACCUACCUAUAAGACUGGGAUAACUUCGGGAAACCGGAGCUAAACCCGGAUAAAAUUAUAAACGGAAUGGUUAAAAAGUGAAAAACGGUCUUGCUGUCAUUAAUAGAUGGAUCCGCGCUGCAUUAGCUAGUUGGUAAGGUAACGGCUUACCAAGGCAACGAUGCAUAGCCGACCUGAGAGGGUGAUCGGCCACACUGGAACUGAGACACGGUCCAGACUCCUACGGGAGGCAGCAGUAGGGAAUCUUCCGCAAUGGGCGAAAGCCUGACGGAGCAACGCCGCGUGAGUGAUGAAGGUCUUCGGAUCGUAAAACUCUGUUAUUAGGGAAGAACAUAUGUGUAAGUAACUGUGCACAUCUUGACGGUACCUAAUCAGAAAGCCACGGCUAACUACGUG